RNAcentral lists this non-coding RNA (51 nucleotides) under unclassified sequences. Its description in RNAcentral is "6A RNA". It matches the Rfam family "6A RNA". Rfam says of the family: Actinobacteria (1 example), Firmicutes, Fusobacteria. Terminator (Clostridia) The record is from Rfam by way of RNAcentral.
UGAUUUCCACGUAGAGCGCGUGGAAGGUAAACAAAAAAAUGCUCACCGAGU